Molecule: ribosomal RNA, 971 nt
Filed under: Aeromonas veronii
Lineage: Bacteria; Pseudomonadati; Pseudomonadota; Gammaproteobacteria; Aeromonadales; Aeromonadaceae
Description: partial 23S ribosomal RNA
Rfam family: Bacterial large subunit ribosomal RNA
Source: RNAcentral
GUUGUAUGGUUAAGUGACUAAGCGUACAUGGUGGAUGCCUUGGCAGUCAGAGGCGAUGAAGGACGUACUAACCUGCGAUAAGCUGUGAGAAGUCGGUAAGAGACGCUAUUACUCACAGAUUUCCGAAUGGGGAAACCCACCCGAGAUAACUCGGGUAUCUGUUACUGAAUACAUAGGUAACAGAGGCGAACCGGGAGAACUGAAACAUCUAAGUACCCCGAGGAAAAGAAAUCAACCGAGAUUCCCUCAGUAGCGGCGAGCGAACGGGGAUUAGCCCUUAAGCAUCUUGGAAGUUAGUGGAACGGUCCUGGAAAGGCCGGCGAUACAGGGUGAUAGCCCCGUACACGAAAACAACCUUGAUGUGAAAUCGAGUAGGGCGGGACACGUGACAUCCUGUCUGAAUAUGGGGGGACCAUCCUCCAAGGCUAAAUACUCCUGACUGACCGAUAGUGAACCAGUACCGUGAGGGAAAGGCGAAAAGAACCCCUGUGAGGGGAGUGAAAUAGAACCUGAAACCGUGUACGUACAAGCAGUGGGAGCCCUUCGGGGUGACUGCGUACCUUUUGUAUAAUGGGUCAGCGACUUACAUUUUGUAGCGAGGUUAACCGUAUAGGGGAGCCGUAGGGAAACCGAGUCUUAACUGGGCGUCUAGUUGCAAGGUGUAGACCCGAAACCGGGUGAUCUAGCCAUGGGCAGGUUGAAGGUUGAGUAACAUCAACUGGAGGACCGAACCCACUAACGUUGCAAAGUUAGGGGAUGACCUGUGGCUGGGGGUGAAAGGCCAAUCAAACUCGGAGAUAGCUGGUUCUCCCCGAAAGCUAUUUAGGUAGCGCCUCGGACGAAUACUACUGGGGGUAGAGCACUGUUUGGGCUAGGGGGUCAUCCCGACUUACCAACCCCAUGCAAACUCCGAAUACCAGUAAGUAAUAUCCGGGAGACACACGGCGGGUGCUAACGUCCGUCGUGAAGAG